AGUGAACGCUGGCGGUAGGCCUAACACAUGCAAGUCGAACGGCAGCACAGUAAGAGCUUGCUCUUACGGGUGGCGAGUGGCGGACGGGUGAGGAAUACAUCGGAAUCUACUUUUUCGUGGGGGAUAACGUAGGGAAACUUACGCUAAUACCGCAUACGACCUACGGGUGAAAGCAGGGGAUCUUCGGACCUUGCGCGAUUGAAUGAGCCGAUGUCGGAUUAGCUAGUUGGCGGGGUAAAGGCCCACCAAGGCGACGAUCCGUAGCUGGUCUGAGAGGAUGAUCCGCCACACUGGAACUUGAACACGGUCCAGGCUCCUAAGGGAGGCAGCAGUGGGGAAUAUUGGACAAUGGGGGCAAGCCUGAUCCAACCAUACCGCGUGGGUGGAAGAGGCCUUCGGGUUGUAAAGCCCUUUUGUUGGGAAAGAAAAGCAGCAGGUUAAUACCCCGCUGUUCUGACGGUACCCAAAGAAUAAGCACCGGCUAACUUCGUG
Molecule: ribosomal RNA, 492 nt
Filed under: uncultured bacterium
Lineage: Bacteria
Description: partial 16S ribosomal RNA
Rfam family: Bacterial small subunit ribosomal RNA
Source: RNAcentral